GCGCAGCAGUCGCGAAACCUCCGCAAUGCUCGAAAGAGCGAUGGGGGGACUCCAAGUGCCUACGCUCAGCGUAGGCUGUUCCCGAGCCUAAAAAGCUCGGGGAGUAAGGGCUGGGUAAGACGGGUGCCAGCCGCCGCGGUAAUACCCGCAGCCCGAGUGGUGGCCGCUAUUAUUGGGCCUAAAGCGUCCGUAGCCGGCUCGGUAAAUGCCUGGGUAAAUCGUCUGGCCCAACCAGACGAAUUCCGGGUAGACUGCCGGGCUAGGGACCGGAGGAGGGAGAGGGUACUCCGAGGGGUAGGGGUGAAAUCAGCAAGGUGAGUUGCUGAUGUAACUUGCCUUGCAAGUCACAAUCCUGUAACUCCUGGAGGACCACCGGUGGCGAAGGCGCUC
RNAcentral lists this ribosomal RNA (390 nucleotides) under uncultured microorganism. RNAcentral's name for it is "bacterial SSU rRNA". It matches the Rfam family "Archaeal small subunit ribosomal RNA", at positions 330 to 677 of the family's 1478-position model. The record is from RNAcentral.